GUAGGGAAUAUUGCGCAAUGGACGAAAGUCUGACGCAGCGACGCCGCGUGAGUGAUGAAGGCCUUAGGGUCGUAAAGCUCUGUUGAAUGGGAAGAAAAAAAUGACGGUACCAUUCGAGGAAGGACCGGCUAACUUCGUGCCAGCAGCCGCGGUAAUACGAGGGGUCCUAGCGUUGUUCGGAAUCAUUGGGCGUAAAGGGUGUGUAGGUGGCCAUGUAAGUCAGGUGUGAAAGCCCCGGGCUCAACCCGGGAAGUGCACUUGAUACUGCGUGGCUUGAGUACCGAAGAGGGUAGUGGAAUUCCAGGUGUAGUGGUGAAAUACGUAGAUAUCUGGAGGAACACCGGUGGCGAAGGCGGCUACCUGGUCGAGUACUGACACUGAGAGACGAAAGCGAGGGGAGCAAAAGGGAUUAGAUACCCUGGUAGUCC
This 428-nucleotide ribosomal RNA is filed under the name uncultured bacterium. Its description in RNAcentral is "partial 16S ribosomal RNA". It matches the Rfam family "Bacterial small subunit ribosomal RNA", at positions 354 to 796 of the family's 1533-position model. The record is from RNAcentral.